Molecule: ribosomal RNA, 1533 nt
Filed under: uncultured bacterium
Lineage: Bacteria
Description: bacterial SSU rRNA
Rfam family: Bacterial small subunit ribosomal RNA
Source: RNAcentral
UUUGAUCCUGGCUCACGCGAUGAACGCUAGCGGUGUGCUCUAAUGCAUGCNACGUCGAACGGGAGGUCGACCCUCUUCGGAUGGGAUGCGAGAUGUGGCGACAGCGGGUGAUGCUAACACGUAGGUUACCUACCACCAGAGAGGGGGAUAACCACCUGGAAACGGUGGCUAAUACACCCCGCGAUGUUGCGCGGGUUUAGAAACGCGGCGACUAAAUGACGCGAGGUGCUCUGUGCGAGAGGAGCCAUGCUGGCCCAUCAGCUAGCUUGCGUACGGUAACGAGCCUACCANCGGCAGAUAACGGGUAGGGGGCGUGAGAGCUGUGUACCCCCCACACUGGUNCUGAGACACGGACNCANAUACCUGCGGGUAGCAGCAGCAAGGAAUAUUGCCCAAUGUACGGAAGUCUGAGAGCAGCAAUCACCUGCGUGGAGGAAGGACGGCCUUCGGGUUGUANACUCCUUUUCUGGGGGANAGAGAAAGCGACGGUACCCCAAGGAACUAAGUCUCGGCUAACUACNUNCCAUCAGCCGCGGCUAAAACGUAGAGCAAGCGUUAUCCGGAUUUACUGGGCGUCAAGUCCAAUGCAGGCAUUUAGUCGGACGUGAAAACUCCUGGCUCAACUACGAAGGCCGUUCGAAACUUGAUAGCUAGAGGAUGGUAGAGGAGAGUGGAAUUCCCCGGUGUCUUGCUNAAAAUGGUAAUUUCGGGAGGAACACCAGUGGCGAAGGCGGCUCUCUGGGCCACUCCUGACGGCUCUAGAUGCGAAAGCUCAGGGGAGAGAAACGGGAUUUAGAAACCCCGUUAUUCCUACCGUAAACGAUNUCAACUAGGCGUAGGCGGUAUUGACCCCGUCUGUGCUGCAGCCAACGCGAUAAGUUGACCGCCUGGGGAGUACGGCCGCAAGGCUAAACUCAAAGGAAUUGACGGGGACCCGCACAAGCAGCGGAGCGUGUGGUUUAAUUCGAGGCUACGCGAAGAACCUUUACCAGGGUUGACAUGCUGGUGGUAGCCUGGUGGAAACACGGGUGACCCUUCGGGGAGCCAGCACAGGUGCUGCAUGGCUGUCGUCAGCUCGUGCCGUGAGGUGUUAGGUUAAGUCCUGUACGAGCGCAACCCUCGUCGUUAGUUACAAGUGUCUAACGAGACUGCCGGUGAUAAGCCGGAGGAAGGUGGGGAUGACGUCAAGUCAGCAUGGCCUUUAUAUCCUGGGCGACACACACGCUACAAUGGCCGGUACAGUGGGUAGCCAAGCCGCGAGGCGGAGCCAAUCCUAAAAAGCCGGUCUCAGUUCGGAUUGCAGGCUGCAACUCGCCUGCAUGAAGUCGGAGUUGCUAGUAACCGCGCGUCAGCCACAGUGCGGUGAAUACGUUCCCGGGUCUUGUACACACCGCCCGUCACGUCAUGGAAGUUGGCAACGCCUGAAGUCGGUGGGCUACCCUCACGGGAGGCAGCCGCCUAAGGCGGGGUCGGUAACUGGGACGAAGUCGUACAAGGUAGCUGUAGCGGAAGCUGCGGCUGGAUCACCUCCUU